GCUCCAUUGGCGCAGUUGGUUAGCGCGUGGAACUUAUAAGACUAAGAAAUGCCAAGGUCGGGUGUUCGAUCCUCCCAUGCAGCA
Angiostrongylus costaricensis is the source of this 84-nucleotide non-coding RNA. The record is from Rfam. Lineage: Eukaryota; Metazoa; Nematoda; Chromadorea; Rhabditida; Metastrongylidae.